RNAcentral lists this transfer RNA (43 nucleotides) under Cyrtodactylus elok (Malaysia bow-fingered gecko). RNAcentral's name for it is "partial tRNA-Asx". Lineage: Eukaryota; Metazoa; Chordata; Lepidosauria; Squamata; Gekkonidae. The record is from RNAcentral.
AAGGUGCCGGGGCUUCUCCCGUUUUACGCGGGACGGGAGAAGC